This 420-nucleotide long non-coding RNA is filed under the name Anser brachyrhynchus (Pink-footed goose). RNAcentral describes it as "lncRNA (ENSABRG00000003847.1)". The record is from RNAcentral. Lineage: Eukaryota; Metazoa; Chordata; Aves; Anseriformes; Anatidae.
AUGCAGGCAGCAAUAACAGCAGUACAUGAAUUUCUGAAUGCUGUGAAUGCCUCUGAACUUCACCAACAGGUAGAAGCUAGGCUGUCAUACCUGUACCUCAGCUGUCAACUGAGAAGCCUUUACUGGCACUUGCGCAGUGUGCCACUCCCAGGGAGAUUUGGGAGUUUGCUAGGCAUGUUCUGCAGUCCCUGGCACUGCUCCUACAUUCACAGAGCGUUUUACAUCUCCAGCAUAUCACCUCUACAGCUCAUCUUCAGGAGAAACAUCUGGCUUGUAACAACAGGCAAAGAGAGAUCCUUCCCUGACACCCGGAUGCAGGCAGGGCUGAGGAUGCACCGCUGGCUGUGGCCACACCUGAGGACAUUAUGCAGGGGCACUGGCAGCAGCAGCGCCUUCAGGAGACUUCUGGCAGGGCUCUGA